CAGUGGAGCUUAAUUCCCUUCCUUCUUGGCUCUAGUGACGCUCUUCUCAUGAACUGAAUGAAGCUUAAGUGAUAGCGUGUUUUAGGAAUAUUCUCCUUAAACAUAUUUACCUCUUACGCUCUCUGAAUCCAUUCUCCGUCAUACUGUGCCUGCCCACGUGGAGCCUGCAGACACUGCACCAGCUGCCCCCACAGUCAGCCUCUAGUGAAAGCCCAGUCUCCCGUACCUCCCACCGCCCCAACCUCCAACGACUCCGCCUGACACGGCAUCACCGCCACCUCUCAGCCUUCCAGUGUGCUUGCUGUCUUCCCUAUUCUGAGGAAAGACCUGUAAUUGAGAGGGCUUUUUGAUACAACAACAUUUCAAGAAGGAGCUUCUGCUACUUUUCACACUGAUCUUCUGACUGUCUUCGGUGCUGUGAUUUGGAUUUGGAUCAGGAUCGGGCCCUCUUCUGCUCAGCCUGGGACACCUGCACAAGGAUAGAAUGCCGGAGAUCCCCUGACAUCUCCCUCCUUGGAGUCUCAGUGACAGGACAGCUGAGUCAGUCAUUUGCUCAAUUGCUAGUAUUUAGGUAGUGAUUCACAACCAACAUGGGUGAAGAUGAUGGCCAAUCUCCCUGCUUUUGUAACUUUAAUCUUUGGUCAUGAUCAGAUUUGCAUCAUCUAGUUAAGGACUUGCAAACCCUCCUAAGGAAUGACAAAGGUCCACUGACGAAUUUAGGACUGUCCUAGGGAUAUAAAGUCUAGGACUCUCUGAUAAUUAUCAAUUGGCUCAUCUCCUUGUGAGACCCAGAAAUACUAAAACUUGGUUUGAAAAAGCAGAAAGGAUUGACAAUCAGACUGAUAUAAUACACAUGGGUCAAAAUUAGACUACAGAUUGACAUAAAAAGAGUAUAAUAACAGGGUAAGACUUCACAAAUGCCUUGUAUACUUUCUUUUCUGAUGGUCUUACAUCUGAGAUGGCAGAUUAUUCAGAAAACAGAUAGGAUGGCAGACUGUCUCUUUCUGAAUCACAAGAGUUUAUGGCAUUCCUUGAAGAUAUCUUGACUUAAAAAAGAGAAAAAUUUAUAGACUGAAUUAAUAGCUCUUUCAAUUAAACAAUUAGAAAAACCCAAGGACAGGGACACCCCUGUGUCUAGUCUAGAUAAAGAUACUUGUUGUUAUUAUAAGGACACUGGAAGAACAAUUGCCCUACCUUGGAGCAAAAGAUAGUAUCUAAAAAGAAAAAACACAAACUGUCUGACAGACUAACACCCCUCAGAGUAAGCAGCUGCUCUGAUCUCCAAAAAUUGCCCUUAACAAAAAACAGAAUGAUUUUCAUACAAUUGCAAAACUAGAAUGUUCCAUUUCUUGUUGAUAUUGAGACUAUACUCGCUGUUAUAAACUUGAUCACUUUUUCAUCACUUCUUUCUCUGAGUAAGAAAAAUGUUUUACAGGUUUCUUGUCUAUCAAUUAUACCUCAAUAAAGC
Molecule: long non-coding RNA, 1468 nt
Filed under: Equus caballus (horse)
Lineage: Eukaryota; Metazoa; Chordata; Mammalia; Perissodactyla; Equidae
Description: lncRNA (ENSECAG00000038873.3)
Source: RNAcentral